This is a long non-coding RNA of Phyllopteryx taeniolatus (common seadragon), 432 nucleotides long. RefSeq lists it as uncharacterized. The record is from RefSeq and is a predicted model, not a curated record. The transcript has 4 exons. NCBI's taxonomy places the organism in Eukaryota, Metazoa, Chordata, Actinopteri, Syngnathiformes, Syngnathidae.
UUCGCAAGACAACGUUGUGCGACUGUAUGUACAUUUCAGACAACAAAAACAACAGCUUUCAUGGAUUGUAUUAUUUACCUGGCACUGUAUGACCAAAUGUGGAUAUUCUAGCCCACUUCUAAGAUGACAAAACAGCUUGCGAACUCAUCCUGAAGAAAAACAAAACGACACUCCCUCUUCAGAUCGCCCUUCUGCAGUUCCUCCAUCCAGCCCGAGUUGAACCUCCUGGUACGCACCAGGACACUGCGUGCUUCAUCUGGAUCCAGGAAGACUGAGGAGCAAGCAUAGCGCAGUGAUGUCCAGAUGAAGAUGAUGAGCAAGCUUACGAAGACACUCAAGCAUGUUGUCGACGCCAUGGAAACGCUGUUUGCUCUGUAUGAGGCUGAAGUCCAGUAACCCCAACACUGGCCAAAUGCGGAUGACCCUGACGAG